AUCGCAAGACCUUGCGCUUUUGGAGCGGCCGAUGUCUGAUUAGCUAGUUGGUGAGGUAAAGGCUUACCAAGGCUUCGAUCAGUAGCUGGUCUGAGAGGACGACCAGCCACACUGGGACUGAGACACGGCCCAGACUCCUACGGGAGGCAGCAGUGGGGAAUUUUGGACAAUGGGGGAAACCCUGAUCCAGCCAUGCCGCGUGAGUGAAGAAGGCCUUCGGGUUGUAAAGCUCUUUCAGCCGGAACGAAAAGGUUACGGUUAAUACCCGUGACUAAUGACGGUACCGGAAGAAGAAGCACCGGCUAACUACGUGCCAGCAGCCGCGGUAAUACGUAGGGUGCGAGCGUUAAUCGGAAUUACUGGGCGUAAAGCGUGCGCAGGCGGUUUUGUAAGUCAGAUGUGAAAUCCCCGGGCUCAACCUGGGAACUGCGUUUGAA
This 437-nucleotide ribosomal RNA is filed under the name uncultured beta proteobacterium. RNAcentral describes it as "bacterial SSU rRNA". It matches the Rfam family "Bacterial small subunit ribosomal RNA", at positions 202 to 631 of the family's 1533-position model. Lineage: Bacteria; Pseudomonadati; Pseudomonadota; Betaproteobacteria. The record is from RNAcentral.